CGUGCAGGCGGGUCGACAAGUCCUGUGUGUAAUCUCCCGGCUCAACCGGGAAACUGCACGGGAAACUAUCGAUCUUGAGUGCGAGAGAGGAUGGCGGAAUUCCUGGUGUAGCGGUGAAAUGCGUAGAUAUCAGGAGGAACACCGGUGGCGAAGGCGGCCAUCUGGCUCGACACUGACGCUGAGACGCGAAGGCCGGGGGAGCAAACA
This 207-nucleotide ribosomal RNA is filed under the name uncultured bacterium. RNAcentral's name for it is "partial 16S ribosomal RNA". It matches the Rfam family "Bacterial small subunit ribosomal RNA", at positions 568 to 774 of the family's 1533-position model. The record is from RNAcentral.